GACGGAAGGUGCAAGCGUUGCUCGGAAUCACUGGGCGUAAAGGGUGCGUAGGCGGCUUGGUAAGUUGGGUGUGAAAGCCCCGGGCUCAGCCCGGGAAGGGCACUCGAAACUGCCGAGCUGGAGUGCCGGAGGGGAGAGUGGAAUUCCUGGUGUAGCGGUGAAAUGCGUAGAUAUCAGGAGGAAUACCGGUGGUGAAAGCGACUCUCUGGACGGCAACUGACGCUGAGGCACGAAAGCGUGGGGAGCAAACAGG
RNAcentral lists this ribosomal RNA (253 nucleotides) under uncultured bacterium. RNAcentral's name for it is "partial 16S ribosomal RNA". It matches the Rfam family "Bacterial small subunit ribosomal RNA", at positions 524 to 776 of the family's 1533-position model. The record is from RNAcentral.